UUUUUCUGUUGUUCAAAUACUCUUUUAAAUUUUUUUUUUUUUUUUUUUUUUGUCUUUUGUCCUUUCAGGGCCAUACCCAGGGCAUAUGUAGGUUUCCAGGUUAGGGGUCUAAUCAGAGCUGUUGCUGCCAACCUACGCCACAGCCACAGCAAUGCAGGAUCCUAGUUGUGUCUGCAACCUACCCCACAGCUUACGGCAACACCAGAUCCUUAACCCACUGAGCAAGGCCAGGGAUUAAACCCGCAACCUCACGGUUCCUAGUCGGAUUCGUUUCUGCUGUGUCACGACAGGAACUCCCUUAAAAAAAUUUUAUUAUAGUUAAUUUACAACAUUUUGCCACUUUCUGUUGUAUAGCAAUCAAUGUGACCCAGAAUAUAUAUAUAUAUAUAUAUUCUUUUUCUUGUGUUAUUUUCUGUUGUAUAGCAAUGAGACCCAGAAUAUAAAUAUAUAUAUAUAUAUUAUAUCAUAAUCUAUCCCAAAAAAUUGGGUAUAGUUCCGUGUGUUAUAUGUAGGAUCUCAUUGGUUAUCCAUUCUAAAUGAAACAGUUUGCAUCUACAAAACCCAAACUCUCAUUCAUCCAAUUUCAUUUCCGCCCUCCUCCUUGGCAACCACAAGUCUGUUCUCUCUGUGAGUCUGUUUCUGUUUUGUAAGGAGGUUCAUUUGCACCAUGUUUUCAAUUCCACAUAUAAGUAUCACCAUAUGGUAUUUGUCUUUCUCUUUCUGACUUACUUAGUAUGACAAUCUCUAGUUGUAUUCAUGUUGUUGCAAGUGGCGUUAUUUCAUUCUUUUCUAUGGGCUGAGUAGUAGUAUAUGUACCACAUAUAUUGAGUGUAUAUGUACCACAUCUUCUUAAUCCAUUCAUCUCUCGAUGGACAUUUAGGUUGUUUCCAUGUCUUGGCUAUUGUGAAUAGUGCUGCAAUGAACAUAGCUUGCAUGUAUCUUUUUGAAUUACAGUUUUGUUCAGAUACAUGCCUGGAAGUAGGAUCGUAUUGUAGUUCUAUAUUUAGUUUUCCACAGAACCUCCAUACUGUUUUCCAUAGUGGUUGUACUCAAAUAUUCUUUAAUAAAUCAGAACUGUAUUUAGAAACUUAGAGUAUCAAUGAUAUUGUAAACAUUCUCUAUAUACAUUAAAUCUGUUAACACCUACUGCAGAUCAUUGUAUUGUGCUAAGAGACUGUGGCAGUGAAAAUGCAACAGUAGACAUGGAAAUAACUUCUGAUUUUAUGGAGUAUUCUGAGAAAAGAGGCACAUGGUGUAAAGUUUGCAAUUUUAAGUAAAGUAGAAACAAAAGCACAAAGUCAUGGGGACUGAUAUCAGAUCUGAAAGCCAGGAAGGCUUCUCAGAGGAGGUGACAUAUAAGCUUUAUAUAAAAAAGGCCACAGCCCCAUCUGGUGGAACAGUGGGAGAAGGUUUUCUCAACAGUGGGCAUCACAAUUUAUACUAGAACCCCAGCAUCUAGUAAAAGUAAUGAAGUCAAGCUUCAGUGCCUACCUUUCCUUGCUUCUCUACCAAUUUUGUAUUUCCCAUCUUUCUCAGCCUGCUUUAGCCACUGUUAAUCUAGGAGCCAGAUAAUCCACUUUUUAUAGCCCACCUCAGAUUAUUCCUGCUUUUAGAAGAAAGAAUCCUCUUAAUCAUUACACCCUAGUGGGAAUUAGGGCCUCCAAAUUACCUCUUCUACUACCUACCCUCUGGUGUUGAAAUAAAAGGCAUACCCAUAAUUAGAGUAAUUUUGAGUAUUAUACAAGCAAGUAGGAAAGUUUUGCCAAGACAUGAGGGCAGAGCUACCAAAAUUAUACCAUAUACUUAAUGACUGUGUCUCUAUUUAUUUGAGAAAUCACCUGCUAUUACAGGUAAUUUUGACAUACUACCUGUUAUUUCGAAAAUCAAAAAAUCAAGGGAUGCAUCUAAAUUUACCUUUUUAAAGAUUUACUGCUAGCAAUCUCUUUCUAGGAAAAAAGUUAAUUUUGAGAAGUGUUAUGAAAAUCCUGCACAAAAUCCACCAUGGGUUAAAAAAAAUGAAGACUUAAAUACAGGAAAUAAUCUUUGUUAAAUAUGUCUUUUAGGGAGAUCCACUAUGUCCCAAUCCUUAAAUUAGAAAGUCAGCAAAAAGAUGAACUGAAUCCCAGAUGUUAAUUGCACAGGCUUACUGGAUUAGAACUGGAGAUAAUUAAUUGCUCAAUUUUAAUAUGCAUUGGACUAAAUGGAUGAUAAGAUUUCCAGUAGUUGGUUUUGAGGUCCAGAAGGGAAAGAUGAUUUCUUUACAGGUCUAGGAGUCCUAGGGGCCAAAGACAUUUAAAAUGUCUGUAUUCAGUGAGUAAGAAGUUGGGUAAAUAGUAGAAGAGGUUAGGGAAUGGGAUUAAUUUCCAGAAAGAGAGUACAGAAAUUCAACUUCAAAUAGCUUUUUCUCAUUUGGAAUUAGAAUAUAACAUUGUAUGAGAAGGAAGGUUUUAAUGGAUUUUAAUUUUUAUUGCACUUUCAAUGAUUAGCAUUCCUGUCCUAUAAUGUCAACAUUAAAUCCAGACAGAUACAAAGCCAUUACUUCCUAUCUGAAGGAAACAAACAAACAAAAGACACUGUUCAUUGCUUAGAUAAUUAGACUUUUUAUGUUCUUAAGAAAUCAGGAGCAAGCUACGGGUUAAUUGGGAAAAUUGUGAAUUAUGCCUAAAUUGUAUCCCCCCCUUUUGUGUUUUAAUUCAACUUGUAACAAAGCAAAUGAUGAAGAACAGAUCAUUUGCCAAUGCUGAGUAUCCAGACAAUACUCAGGAAUUUACAUCAGCAGAUUCCAUUAAAAAGUUGGCUGCAAAGGUAGAUGAUAAAGGUGGGGAAGAGGCAGCAGUGUAGAGACCCCAAAAAAGUCUGUUGUUCCCUACACAACAUUCAGGCUGUUGAAACAGGAAGCAAGACCACCAACUCUAGGUUCAUUAUGCUGAUCCCUUAGAAUACACGUAAGGCUGCCUAGACAGAUAUCUUAGAAAUCAGCUAUGUUUCUGCAUCAGAAUCACCCGUGGGGCUUAUUAAGAAGAU
Molecule: long non-coding RNA, 3024 nt
Filed under: Sus scrofa (pig)
Lineage: Eukaryota; Metazoa; Chordata; Mammalia; Artiodactyla; Suidae
Description: lncRNA (ENSSSCG00035040188.1)
Source: RNAcentral